CCACUUCAAGCAAUUAUAUUAAAAUUGGAACUAGACAGAGAAGAUUAGUAUGGCCCCUUGUGCAAGGAUGACAUGCAAAUUUGAGAAGCCUUCCAUAUUUUU
This is a small nuclear RNA of Dromiciops gliroides (monito del monte), 102 nucleotides long. The record is from RefSeq and is a predicted model, not a curated record. NCBI's taxonomy places the organism in Eukaryota, Metazoa, Chordata, Mammalia, Microbiotheria, Microbiotheriidae.